RNAcentral lists this ribosomal RNA (507 nucleotides) under Phenacoccus madeirensis (Mexican mealybug). RNAcentral describes it as "eukaryotic LSU rRNA". It matches the Rfam family "Eukaryotic large subunit ribosomal RNA", at positions 588 to 830 of the family's 3401-position model. Lineage: Eukaryota; Metazoa; Arthropoda; Insecta; Hemiptera; Pseudococcidae. The record is from RNAcentral.
UGAGGAGACGCGUUUUACGUUCGUCGACGCGUCGUCUGCCUCGGUAGGCGCGCGUUGCGAGUACGCGUUCGUAUUCCGGCCGGCUCGCCAGACGGUAUGUCGAUGGUGGCCGUGGCGGUCGUUCGCUUCACGGCGAUCAGCGCCGUUCACGGUACCGGUUUGCGACGAAUCUUCGGGCCUCUUUCCGACCCGUCUUGAAACACGGACCAAGGAGUCUAACGUGCGCGCGAGUCGCGGGGUGUCGAGCAGCGGAGGUUCGCCUUUGUUGCUCGUUACGACGCGAAACCCGUACCGUUUAUUCGGAAGGCGCAAUGAAAGUGAAACAGGGGAAGAUGGCGUUACCGAGUUCACGUUUCGCGACUCGAUCGCGACCGGUCGCCCGCAUUCCCAGGGCGUCCCAACGGUGCGACGGCGUUGCGGAUCGUCGUUCUUUCGGGAACGGCGGUCGGGCGUCGUCGGUCCGGGGCGCACCUAUAGCGUGCACGUUGGUACCCGAAAGAUGGUGAA